This is a long non-coding RNA of Musa acuminata AAA Group (dessert banana), 2327 nucleotides long. RefSeq lists it as uncharacterized. The transcript has 4 exons. The record is from RefSeq and is a predicted model, not a curated record. Lineage: Eukaryota; Viridiplantae; Streptophyta; Magnoliopsida; Zingiberales; Musaceae.
GAUAUAUAUGUUUGCGACUUAAUCUGACAUGAUUGGCGGCCAAGUGGGCUACUGGCAUUUCCAGAGAGUAGCAAGGUUAUCUCUGAAGACAACAGUGUGACGCAGCCGAAACAGAUUAUUGAAGGUGAAGGACAGCUUCACUUGCUCGUGAUCCCUUCUGCCCUUCGGGUCGAUGGUGAUGUUAUCAUCAGCCCACUUAGCUGCGGGAAUUGCUCGAAUGUGGGUAGUCAUGACACACAUGAGGAGCGGAGGUGCAUGCUUUACUUGGAGAAUUAUCCCUCACAGGACAAACCGUAAGGAAGCUGUCAGAAUGCUGAGAUCCAUCCAAUGGCAAAGCAACAGGUUCAGUAAUGAGCCACUCCCUGCUGAGCCUACCUUUGGGUGGGGGGGGACAAAGAUUCACACUGAAAGCCAGGUGGAUCAUUAUUGUGGCUCUGAGGUCACCAGGUCAAUCAGUCAAACUGCCAAACCUGGUAUCUAUGUGGUGUCAGGAGUGAUGACAAAUAAGCAACCACUGACACAUGAGCAUCCGCUGGUUUAUCCGAUACAACAUGAUGAUGUUGAUGAUGCAAUCGGAGCAUGCAGCCCAGCUGCUUGACAAUAUGACUGAAUCAGAUCAAUGUUUUUGCAAUGACUUGAGCAUGAGCUAAUCUUGCACAAGGAGGAGCAGCAACCUUCCAUGUCCCAGAGCAACUUGACUGAGCCAACUUUUGCGCCGAUACCAGAAAGUUUCUGCUUGCCCUUGUCAGCUUGUGACUGUCUAGUAGGAUUUACAGGCUUCUGAAUUGAGAGUUAUUAUGCAGCAAGGACUUGGAUUGUUCUGUCCACCCCACUCAUUCCAUUAUUGCAGUCACUAGGACAAUUGUCAGCCUACAAGGUGGCACAUUCUGAACAAGCAUUGAAGAGCGGUGCAGGACCAUCGGCUGGCUGCUUGCCUGCAGCAGCGGUGUGCAUCACCUUUAAAGUUUCAUUGAGUUGGAUCCCAGCUAUAGGGGUGAUGGUCCCAAGAGUCUCCAACACGUAGGCCUUGCUUGUGCAUCGGCACCACACUCCCAGUGAACUCGGAUGAUUGUGCCGGCCGUAUCGGUAGGAGGGGAGGACCACCGGCCUUGAAGGUGAACACAGGGUUGAGCCAGCAUUGAAGCGGAGUGCGGCAGCAGGCUGCAUCUCUUGCACUGGUGUGUACCUUCAAAAGCUCCACAUAUUUGGAUUCUAGCUGAGCAUGAUGGUCCCAAAGGUCUCCUGCUCCGAGGAGGAGAGGGUGACCUUGUUCAAAUGGAUUCAUUGAUCCUGGCCAAACUUGUAGGUGAGCUCCAGGUAUUCACUUACUUUAAUCCGAGAGAUACUCCGUGAUUCCACCAUAAUUAUAUCUAUCGGCAGAUCUUUCGAUGUGGAACAGCAAGAUCAAAGCUUGGGUCGUGAGUUGCUCGGCUCCCAACAUUGGUCACCCUGCUCGCAUGGAGUUGUCAGUCUCAUCUACACGGCUCAGUGUUUGCGAGAGAAAUGACCAACAAAUGGGUUCUUGAACGGAAACGAGAUGUAUAAAAUGCUGCUGUUGUCAUGGCUGGAACAUCAAAAACCAUGCAGUCGGUAUCUUCUGCAGGUUUAGACUACUAGAAGACUCGUCUCGGAGAAUGUUAUAAUGAGCAUAUGGAGGGGGAAAAGGACAGUGUGUGGCCAAGUACGAGGCGGCUUGAAGCCUUCUUCGACGGACAAAUUAAUAGGUCGAUGAGCUUUCGCGGCUCACGAGUGGCGGAGGGGGAUAGGUUUAUUUGGGAAGACCAGGAACCAAAGACGACGACUGUGACUCUUCUUCGAGGCUGUUGGACGAGAUGACUUAUCACAAUUGUCUGCAGUCAAGCUGAAACACUUUCUACGGUCCGCGGGAAACUGUGCAAGUGUUCAUCCCUGAGCUUACGGCCAAUGAAAUGAAGUGAUGAGUCGGCGUCUCUGAGCCCGUGAAUGACAAAGCUACAGGAUAAUUAUGAUUACACCUCUCUCUCUCUCUCUCUCUCCCCGCGAUGCAGAGGACCACCACGGCAACUUCCUUCUAUGUGCGCACAAAGUUCCGGAGUUCCCACCUUCACCAGAAUGAAUCGCAUAAUGGAAGCUCUGGUUUAGGGGGUCUUCAAGAUGGGCUGCAGAGCUCUGGUACAACACGGUUGGAUCCAUCAUCCCUGAUUUCAUGCUUCAUCGGUUCUCAGGUUGGCUUUCGAUGUCAAUAAAUUAUAGGAUUUACAUAAAUAAAGGAACAUCAAUUCUUUUUUCUUAGGGAAUAUCAAAUCUCGUUAAUCAUCAUAAUCAAUGGGUAUUAAUUUUUUUUUUUU